UGGGGAAUUUUGGACAAUGGGGGCAACCCUGAUCCAGCCAUUCCGCGUGAGUGAAGAAGGCCUUCGGGUUGUAAAGCUCUUUUGUUCGGGACGAAACGGUUACGGUUAAUAACCUUGACUAAUGACGGUACCGGAAGAAUAAGCACCGGCUAACUACGUGCCAGCAGCCGCGGUAAUACGUAGGGUGCGAGCGUUAAUCGGAAUUACUGGGCGUAAAGCGUGCGCAGGCGGUUUUAUAAGCCAGAUGUGAAAUCCCCGGGCUCAACCUGGGAAUGGCAUUUGGGACUGUAAGACUAGAGUAUGGCAGAGGAGACUAGAAUUCCUGGUGUAGCAGUGAAAUGCGUAGAUAUCAGGAGGAAUACCGAUGGCGAAGGCAGCCCCCUGGGAUCAUACUGACGCUCAUGCACGAAAGCGUGGG
RNAcentral lists this ribosomal RNA (418 nucleotides) under uncultured bacterium. RNAcentral's name for it is "bacterial SSU rRNA". It matches the Rfam family "Bacterial small subunit ribosomal RNA", at positions 355 to 765 of the family's 1533-position model. The record is from RNAcentral.